GUGAUAGUGAAAAUCAUCCUAACGAUAAUCCUCCUCUCUCUUGUGUCUCUCACACCAGCCACGGUUUUCAAAGAUCUGCCCAAGCCCAAAGUGGACCUGAGAGGUCAUUGCUGCAAACCUCCUGCCUCCAGACCGGACUCCACCCAAGCCACCUCAAACAGAUGAUCAGCCAGCAUCAUCUCCGUUUUAAAGUUGCAUCAAAUGUUCCUUGGGUUGGUGUCCAGAAUGCAGAAGAUGCUGCCUGCUGAUACACACAGGUUUUCUUCAACUAGGGUGCUCAUCGGAUACUUGGAUUUCUUGUUUCUGGUUCUGCAGUUGGUCCUGCUUCUCUGCACAUACCCUUGAUCCUGUAACUGACUUGUAAGUUUUCACAACUUUUCAGCUUCCUACUUAUGGAAAGCCUCUUGGGUCACCUCUGUACCCUUCCUGUGGGGUUACUUCCCAAUCAAACUCUCAGAAGACCAACCUGGAGGCUUCCUCCUACCCCAGUUGAUGAUGAAAUUCACCUCACUCAUGUGGGUAGCUUCACCAUCUGUCAUCAACAUCAGAC
Molecule: long non-coding RNA, 550 nt
Organism: Chinchilla lanigera (long-tailed chinchilla)
Lineage: Eukaryota; Metazoa; Chordata; Mammalia; Rodentia; Chinchillidae
Exons: 4
Source: RefSeq, a predicted model, not a curated record